CAAGGCAUUAUUGGAUUUCAUCAUCACCAAUUCCUAUUGAGCUAUAAUUUGGCUCUUGAUUUGUAGUUUAACUAUUUGGAUCACCUAGAUUGGCUGACACUAGUCAUUAGAUGCUAGUAACCUUCUCUUCUCCACCUUGGUUUUGGUCAAGCAACCUCGAAACCCAUCAUAGAUGAUCUUCAUCAUAUUUUUGAAUCACCAGCUAAGUCAUCUAGAUCUGACUCACUUGGGCUAUCAGAUGCCAUUAUUCGACCAGCCAUAUCUUUCUUCCCUCAUAAGUUUUUCACCAUCAAUAAUA
RNAcentral lists this long non-coding RNA (298 nucleotides) under Elaeis guineensis (African oil palm). RNAcentral describes it as "long non-coding RNA (EGUI_LNC051285)". Lineage: Eukaryota; Viridiplantae; Streptophyta; Magnoliopsida; Arecales; Arecaceae. The record is from RNAcentral.